GUCUGCACUUGUCGGGGAAGGGUGAGAACCCUCGAUUAAGGUUCGACUCGAGCGAAAGCGAGAGAACGUUGCCAACGGCAACGGCCCGUAGGGUGA
Molecule: small RNA, 96 nt
Filed under: Salmonella enterica subsp. enterica serovar Enteritidis
Lineage: Bacteria; Pseudomonadati; Pseudomonadota; Gammaproteobacteria; Enterobacterales; Enterobacteriaceae
Description: partial RtT sRNA
Rfam family: RtT RNA
About the family: This family represents a bacterial cis-regulatory element known as RtT RNA.
Source: RNAcentral